Molecule: ribosomal RNA, 253 nt
Filed under: uncultured bacterium
Lineage: Bacteria
Description: partial 16S ribosomal RNA
Rfam family: Bacterial small subunit ribosomal RNA
Source: RNAcentral
UACGUAGGGUGCAAGCGUUGUCCGGAUUUAUUGGGCGUAAAGAGCUCGUAGGCGGUCUGUCGCGUCGGAUGUGAAAACCCAGGGCUCAACCCCGGGCGUGCAGUGGAUACGGGCUGGCUAGAGGCAGGCAGGGGAGAACGGAAUUCCCGGUGUAGCGGUGAAAUGCGCAGAUAUCGGGAGGAACACCGGUGGCGAAGGCGGUUCUCUGGGCCUGUACUGACGCUGAGGAGCGAAAGCGUGGGGAGCGAACAGG